RNAcentral lists this long non-coding RNA (422 nucleotides) under Ananas comosus (pineapple). RNAcentral describes it as "long non-coding RNA (ACOM_LNC015629)". The record is from RNAcentral. Lineage: Eukaryota; Viridiplantae; Streptophyta; Magnoliopsida; Poales; Bromeliaceae.
AUAUAGUAAGUCUUCUGUAUUUUCGAAAGUACGGAGACCUCCGUACUUGUAAGUUGUUUUCGAUGAUAGGAAAUCCAAUUCGACGAUCGGCUCCGUUAAGUAUAAUCUACCCUAUUAGAACUAUUUAGAAACCAAAUUUUAUAAUUUUUGACAUCAUUUACCAAGCAAUUAAAAGGUUUCAAAAAUGACUAUUUUAACAGUCGAUGUGGCACGUUUUUAAGUUCAACGGUGUAGAAGUAUCCAAAUUAGAUAAAAAUUUAAUAGAAAAUUCUACUUAACAUCAAUAGCAAGACCAAUACUUCCGAUUUGAAAUUUGAAUUCUUUAUUACUAUUUUUUAUGAGAUUUUCAUUUUCAGCCGUUCAUUUUUAGACUACUCGUUUGAUUGGUAAAUGACGCCGAAAAAUUAUGAAAUUUAGUUUCN